RNAcentral lists this small nuclear RNA (60 nucleotides) under Peromyscus maniculatus bairdii (prairie deer mouse). Its description in RNAcentral is "U7 small nuclear RNA (ENSPEMG00000027143.1)". It matches the Rfam family "U7 small nuclear RNA". Rfam says of the family: Animal histone pre-mRNAs are spliced by a different mechanism than nuclear pre-mRNAs and self-splicing introns. The record is from Rfam by way of RNAcentral. Lineage: Eukaryota; Metazoa; Chordata; Mammalia; Rodentia; Cricetidae. RNAcentral also lists the same sequence under 1 other name.
AAGUAUUACAGCUCUUUCAGAAUUUGUCUAGAAGGUUUUCUGACUUUCAUCGAGACCCUC